This 70-nucleotide transfer RNA is filed under the name Sphingomonas aerolata. RNAcentral describes it as "tRNA-Asn". It matches the Rfam family "tRNA". From Rfam's summary of the family: Transfer RNA (tRNA) molecules are approximately 80 nucleotides in length. Their secondary structure includes four short double-helical elements and three loops (D, anti-codon, and T loops). The record is from RNAcentral. Lineage: Bacteria; Pseudomonadati; Pseudomonadota; Alphaproteobacteria; Sphingomonadales; Sphingomonadaceae.
GCUUUGAUUUUGUUGGGUUUCUGCUCGACUGUUAAUCGAGUGGCCGUAGGUUCGAAUCCUACUCAGGGAG